RNAcentral lists this unclassified non-coding RNA (359 nucleotides) under Hevea brasiliensis (rubber tree). The record is from RNAcentral. Lineage: Eukaryota; Viridiplantae; Streptophyta; Magnoliopsida; Malpighiales; Euphorbiaceae.
UUUAAUGCAGAGCUAGCCACUUUUUAUAAAUUUAUGGGAUAAGUGGAGAUUACAAUGGAUAUAUAACAAUUCAUUGUUAAUUUGUAUCCUUCAAGUCUACAUGUGGUGUUUUGUUCAGUUAUGAUUAUUCCUUUCUUGGAUCUUGAACAACUAAGUGAGAUCAUUUAUUGGGAAAUAAUUUUGAAAUUAAACAAGAAUGCAAAAAAGGUAAUAGUAUUUUGUCCACCUUAAUACUAACAAGGAAUAGGCAAAUGGUGGUUUGCAUUCACUCCUGGCAUCUCUGUUACAAGUCAUGCCCAGGUCAGAUAAACUGACUUGGCUAAUUAUUUACUGCAGAUCCUAAUACACACAUUAUAUGG